GACGAACGCUGGCGGCGUGCUUAACACAUGCAAGUCGAGCGGUAAGGCCCUUUCGGGGGUACGACGAGCGGCGAACGGGUGAGUAACACGUGAGUGACCUGCCCUCAGCUCUGGGAUAAGCCUGGGAAACCGGGUCUAAUACCGGAUAUGACUCCAUGACGCAUGUUGUGGGGUGGAAAGCCUUGUGCGGCUGAGGAUGGGCCCGCGGCCUAUCAGCUUGUUGGUGGGGUGANGGCCUACCAAGGCGACGACGGGUAGCCGGCCUGAGAGGGCGACCGGCCACACUGGGACUGAGACACGGCCCAGACUCCUACGGGAGGCAGCAGGUGGGGAAUCUUGCGCAAUGGGCGAAANCCUGACGCAGCGACGCCGCGUGAGGGAUGACGGCCU
RNAcentral lists this ribosomal RNA (390 nucleotides) under uncultured bacterium. RNAcentral's name for it is "bacterial SSU rRNA". It matches the Rfam family "Bacterial small subunit ribosomal RNA", at positions 28 to 417 of the family's 1533-position model. The record is from RNAcentral.